UACGUAGACGGUUGGAUAGGUCGGAUGUGAAAGCCCCGGGCUCAACCUGGGAAUGGCAUUCGAGACUGUUCAGCUAGGGUGCGGAAGAGGGAAGCGGAAUUUCCGGUGUAGCGGUGAAAUGCGUAGAUAUCGGAAGGAACACCAGUGGCGAAAGCGGCUUCCUGGUCCAGCACCGACGUUCAGGUACGAAAGCAUGGGGAGCAAACAGGAUUAGAUACCCUGGUAGUCCAUGCCAUAAACGAUGAGGACUAGACGUUGAGAGGGUAAGCCUCGCAGUGUCGUAGCUAACGCGCUAAGUCCUCCGCCUGGGGAGUACGGCCGCAAGGUUGAA
This 331-nucleotide ribosomal RNA is filed under the name uncultured bacterium. RNAcentral describes it as "bacterial SSU rRNA". It matches the Rfam family "Bacterial small subunit ribosomal RNA", at positions 568 to 898 of the family's 1533-position model. The record is from RNAcentral.